AAAUAAAAUAAGACAAAAUGAAAAAUCCAAAAGUUAGAUAGGAACAGAAUUGAGAGACUGCUCAAAAGUCGUGGAGUUAACCAUGGCAAAGGAGAAUGAAAGCAGCCAACCACCUCACCUUAUAUGUUUAGCUAAUUCAACAAUGUAAAAAAGAGUAGACAAUUGUCUCUUUGCUGCCCAAUGACCCAUAUUUCUCCUUUCAUUGCCUUUAGAUUCUGCUAUACCAAGGUUGCAGGCAAAAGUAAAGGGACCAAAAACAAGUCCAAGUAUAUUAUAUAGGCAACGGAACAUUAUCAAGUUCGACGAAGAUUGACUACAGCAUUGACCAUUAUUGCUUGUUAGGUGUUGAGUUUUUCAAUGGGAUUCAGCAGAGAGUAACGGCAAGUGUAUCUUCAAAUUGAAUAGACCUAAAUAGCAGUGACAGAUAUCUCUACAAAAACAGUGGGAUUUUUCCCUAACUUCGAUUUCUCGAAAAAAAAAUUUAAUCCUAUUUUACAUAAAAUGAUCUCUUAAAAUCUUUGUUUAUUUGCUAUUACAUCUACAUUAACCUUCAUGUUGAAGAUGAAAAACUGCUACUUACUGAAGUUAGAUUUUACUCGUGCUUUGUGGUACGAUCCUAUAUACCACAUCAAGGGGUGGUUACUUAUUAAUGUUUGCUAAACCCCAGUCCAGUUCAUUUGUUCCCAUCCUAAGGGAGGUUCUUCGAGAUCGUUAACCAUCUCCCAAAUAUCAUCUUCAUUUGCUUCUGGUUGAUCAGAGUGGUCUCCUCCAGAGUGUGAAGUACUUGAGGAGCUUGUUACCUCCAUCAUAGAGGCUCUCUCUGAAAAUGUUGCAGUCCUAUUCUCAUGAAGUUGUGUUGCUCGUGAUACAGUUUCGAGUGGGCGUCUAUCGAAUGCUCGAAAGCUGCCUGAUACCACGUAGAUUCGACACAAACUGAAUUCGUGUCUCAACUGCAUUAAGAAUAUUUCAACAAAUGAUUAGAAAUGGGAGAAGUUCAUAUUGAACUUUUGAGCCUGAAGAACAGUAUGCAACUAUAUAAUGCUCACCAUCGGAGUCGUGGUAACAGCAGUCGGGUUGGGCACAGCUUCUAUAGCUCUAUACUCAUUCAUCUUCCAUUUGGUUUUCUUCCCAGAAGGAGCUUUCCCCUUAUAGAAAACCAUUGUUUUCUUCAUUCCGAUCACUCGGUCAUCGGAGGAGUAGACAUAGCUGGGAGACCCUGUUGCCUUCCAGUAGCCAGAAGCAGUAGUUCGGUUAGCUCUCCCACCUCGAGCUUCCCUCUCUUGUCUUGGUGUGAAGUAAAACCAUUGCUCAGUGUCUCGUCUACAACGCUCCCCCGCAAGCUCUGCGACAAAAGAAGGAACAUGUUAACUUACUAAACCAGUCAGUUUUAAGCAUGUUUAAGAUUGAAGAAUGUAAUGAGGAGUGAAGAAAGCAAUACGAGGAAGGUCCCAUGGCUCGACAUCGUAAAUGUUGAGAACAGGAAUAACACUGUGCAUCUCUUGUCUCCGGCCGUCUAACUGGUUGCGUAGGUAGAAGGAAACUAACUCUUCUUCUGUAGGAAAAAACCGAAAACCAGCUGGGAUCUCCAUUAGCUGUAAGUACGUUGUUCUUAGGGGUUUCUUCUUUUCUUUUUUUUUUUCUUUUUUUCUUUUAAUGUCCUUUGCUGUGCUAU
Long non-coding RNA from Gossypium arboreum, 1672 nucleotides. RefSeq lists it as uncharacterized. The transcript has 3 exons. NCBI's taxonomy places the organism in Eukaryota, Viridiplantae, Streptophyta, Magnoliopsida, Malvales, Malvaceae. The record is from RefSeq and is a predicted model, not a curated record.